CCUACCUGUGAGUGACCCUGUUCAUGAUUUUGGAUUUCUGCCUGUUUGCUUCUCCCUUCUCGGACUCUCCAGUCUGUUUUCGGUAUCUGGACAAGACCUUUGCCUGUCGCCUGACUCUGCUUCGCCCUUCUGUACUUCUGCCUGUCAGAUUGUUUUGGAUUACUGACCUCGGACUGGAUUCUGGACUCCGCCUGUUGGAUUGCCCCCACUGGUGCCUCUGCCUUUCUCUGUCAGCAUGUGUAUGACCUUGGACUGUCACAGGAUUGCCACUCCACUGACUAACCGCUUCUGGGGUGAACUUCUGAAUCUGCAUCAAGCUCACACAUUGGAGUCUCUGUCCAUUACGGAGCCUAUUAAGAGCUGCCAGUACCAGUUCCUGUACUUUCCUGCACCAGCUACGUAUAUUUAAAUAAAAUUGUUAAACGUG
Molecule: long non-coding RNA, 427 nt
Organism: Fundulus heteroclitus (mummichog)
Lineage: Eukaryota; Metazoa; Chordata; Actinopteri; Cyprinodontiformes; Fundulidae
Exons: 2
Source: RefSeq, a predicted model, not a curated record